RNAcentral lists this ribosomal RNA (490 nucleotides) under uncultured bacterium. RNAcentral's name for it is "partial 16S ribosomal RNA". It matches the Rfam family "Bacterial small subunit ribosomal RNA", at positions 28 to 507 of the family's 1533-position model. The record is from RNAcentral.
GAUGAACGCUAGCUACAGGCUUAACACAUGCAAGUCGCGGGGCAGCAUGGGGGUUGCUUGCAAUCCCCGAUGGCGACCGGCGCACGGGUGAGUAACGCGUAUCCAACCUGCCCUUCACCACGGGAUAACCCGGCGAAAGUCGGACUAAUACCGUAUGUUGUCCAUUGACGGCAUCCGAUUUGGACGAAAGGUUUGGCGGUGAAGGAUGGGGAUGCGUCCGAUUAGCUGGACGGCGGGGUGACGGCCCACCGUGGCGACGAUCGGUAGGGGUUCUGAGAGGAAGGUCCCCCACACUGGAACUGAGACACGGUCCAGACUCCUACGGGAGGCAGCAGUGAGGAAUAUUGGUCAAUGGGCGUAAGCCUGAACCAGCCAAGUAGCGUGCGGGAUGACGGCCCUAUGGGUUGUAAACUGCUUUUAUGCGGGGAUAAAGUGGCCCACGUGUGGGUUUUUGCAGGUACCGCAUGAAUAAGGACCGGCUAAUUCCGUG